Myotis lucifugus (little brown bat) is the source of this 73-nucleotide non-coding RNA. Lineage: Eukaryota; Metazoa; Chordata; Mammalia; Chiroptera; Vespertilionidae. The record is from Rfam.
GACGGUUCUCAGGUGAUGCACCUCGGAAUCAGGCUCCCUCCUCUCUGGUUCUGGGUGUGUCACCUGAGAAGCA